GACGAACGCUGGCGGCGUGCCUAAUACAUGCAAGUCGAGCGAAGUUUUUCUGGUGCUUGCACUAGAAAAACUUAGCGGCGCACGGGUGAGUAACACGUAAAGAACCUGCCUCAUGGACUGGGACAACUAUUGGAAACGAUAGCUAAUACCGGAUAACAGUAUUUCUCGCAUGAGAGAUAUUUAAAAGUUGGUUAUGCUAACACUAUGAGAUGGCUUUGCGGUGCAUUAGCUAGUUGGUGGGGUAAAGGCCCACCAAGGCGACGAUGCAUAGCCGACCUGAGAGGGUGAUCGGCCACACUGGGACUGAGACACGGCCCAGACUCCUACGGGAGGCAGCAGUAGGGAAUCUUCCGCAAUGGGCGAAAGCCUGACGGAGCAACGCCGCGUGAGUGAAGAAGGAUUUCGGUUCGUAAAGCUCUGUUGUUAGGGAAGAAUGGAUAUGUAGUAACUAUACAUGUAAGAGACGGUACCUAACCAGAAAGCCACGGCUAACUACGUG
This 499-nucleotide ribosomal RNA is filed under the name uncultured bacterium. RNAcentral describes it as "partial 16S ribosomal RNA". It matches the Rfam family "Bacterial small subunit ribosomal RNA", at positions 28 to 507 of the family's 1533-position model. The record is from RNAcentral.